RNAcentral lists this ribosomal RNA (459 nucleotides) under uncultured bacterium. RNAcentral's name for it is "partial 16S ribosomal RNA". It matches the Rfam family "Bacterial small subunit ribosomal RNA", at positions 338 to 795 of the family's 1533-position model. The record is from RNAcentral.
CCUACGGGAGGCAGCAGUGAGGAAUAUUGGUCAAUGGUCGGGAGACUGAACCAGCCAAGCCGCGUGAGGGAUGAAGGUACAGAGUAUCGUAAACCUCUUUUGUCAGGGAACAAAGGCGGGGACGUGUCCCCGGAUGAGUGUACCUGAAGAAAAAGCAUCGGCUAACUCCGUGCCAGCCGCCGCGGUAAUACGGAGGAUGCGAGCGUUAUCCGGAUUUAUUGGGUUAAAGGGGUGCGCAGGCGGUCUGUUAAGUCAGUGGGCAAAGCCCGGGGCUCAACCCCGGCCCGCAGUUGAAACUGGCAGUCUCGAGUUGGAGAGAGGUAUGCGGAAUGCGCGGUGUAGCGGUGAAAUGCAUAGAUAUCGCGCAGAACUCCGAUUGCGAAGGCAGCAUGCCGGCUCCACACUGACGCUGAGGCACGAAAGCGUGGGUAUCGAACAGGAUUAGAUACCCGAGUAGUC